This 253-nucleotide ribosomal RNA is filed under the name uncultured prokaryote. RNAcentral describes it as "partial 16S ribosomal RNA". It matches the Rfam family "Bacterial small subunit ribosomal RNA", at positions 525 to 777 of the family's 1533-position model. The record is from RNAcentral.
ACGUAGGGACCAAGCGUUGUUCGGAUUUACUGGGCGUAAAGAGCGCGCAGGCGGUUGGUCAAGUCGAAUGUGAAAGCCCCCGGCUCAACUGGGGAGGGUCAUUCGAUACUGGUCGACUCGAAGGCAGGAGAGGGACGUGGAAUUCCCGGUGUAGUGGUGAAAUGCGUAGAUAUCGGGAGGAACACCAGUGGCGAAGGCGGCGUCCUGGCCCGGUAUUGACGCUGAGGCGCGAAAGCCAGGGGAGCAAACGGGA